GUUAAGUUAUUCACAUUCUGUAAACCCUCGGGAUAUAACCAAGGAGAGGUGGAAGUGAGAGGGUGGCGUGGCAGAGGUUGCUGAGAAUUACCAGAACAAGAAGAACUUACUAUUUUCUGCAUCGACGAACCUAUAGCAGAAACCAUGCCAAAAGGAAGGAUUCGAUUUUAGCCACGAAAGAUCGUAAUUUGUCGGUGAGUUCAAUCUUCUAUCGAACGGUACGUCACACACUGCGAGUGUGGGGAAGGCACCCGCGCGCAUCAAUUAUUCGCGGCGGAACACGCGAUUACGGGAUACGUGAGUUCGAAAGAGAGAAUGUAAGUAUAAAUGCGAUGACCCACCCCGAGUCUUGCCCCUAUAAAAGUUGCAUUGCCGAACGGGGGAACCUCUCAUGAAUGUUCCAUCCCAACAAGAUGCCGUCCGGUGAAAUCCACCAAGUGGCACAAGCCAGGAAUUCUUUUCUCCGCUAAGCCGGCGAAGGUUCGAUACAAUGGUUUCGACGAAGGAAAAACCUGCGUCGCUAUCUGUCUCCAUUAUGUUUCCCAAGUAGUAUGAAUUUAAAAUAGCAUUCCGUAAUCGUCGAUUAAAUCCUCGUCUUCUUUUGCAUUUUUAAUUUUAUGUUUUUCUCGCUCGAUAUUCAAUCGCAGAAAGUAUCCAGCUGAUGUCGGCGGAGUUUCUAUAGAAGAGAAGAGAGAAACGAUCAGAAGCAAUUCCAUUCGGAGAAUAAAUAAAUCGUAGUUACGAUUCGAGGAAUAAAUUCAAUUUUAAUUUUCAAUUCGUCCUUGGCCAUUUUUACGUUGUUCGUUUUAUUUCCCUUAUCCUCUCUCGUUCUUUUCACCUGAUAUUCCAUUACAAACGGUAUCGUUCGUGGCAGAGAAGUUUAUAUAGAAGAAAGGAAGGGGGCGGCGAUCAAACGCGAACAACAGAUCAACCGAAUGCAAUGAUAUUUUAACUAUGCCAACAGUCAGCGAGUCUGCAACGACCAUCAAAUAUGUCACAGGCUUGGAAUUCCCUUUGAUGACCCGUAUACGUAAUAGGCCCCCGUUCUGUUAACCGAUUGCUUCACCGGAUACGUCAGGGGACAGUCUACAUCGUCGUGUACAUCGUAUACACGUAUUAGAAAUCCAAACCGGUGUACUUUCAACCCUAGUUAC
This 1154-nucleotide unclassified non-coding RNA is filed under the name Bombus terrestris (buff-tailed bumblebee). RNAcentral's name for it is "misc RNA ENSBTSG00005029810.1". The record is from RNAcentral. Lineage: Eukaryota; Metazoa; Arthropoda; Insecta; Hymenoptera; Apidae.